CACCUGAAAUAUCGUUGUUGUGUUUAAGGAUGCCUCC
This 37-nucleotide small RNA is filed under the name Bombyx mori (domestic silkworm). RNAcentral describes it as "ovarian small RNA-12982". Lineage: Eukaryota; Metazoa; Arthropoda; Insecta; Lepidoptera; Bombycidae. The record is from RNAcentral.